RNAcentral lists this ribosomal RNA (407 nucleotides) under uncultured bacterium. RNAcentral's name for it is "partial 16S ribosomal RNA". It matches the Rfam family "Bacterial small subunit ribosomal RNA", at positions 355 to 755 of the family's 1533-position model. The record is from RNAcentral.
UGGGGAAUUUUGGACAAUGGGCGAAAGCCUGAUCCAGCAAUGCCGCGUGUGUGAAGAAGGCCUUCGGGUUGUAAAGCACUUUUGUCCGGAAAGAAAUCCUUGGCUCUAAUACAGUCGGGGGAUACGGUACCGGAAGAAUAAGCACCGGCUAACUACGUGCCAGCAGCCGCGGUAAUACGUAGGGUGCAAGCGUUAAUCGGAAUUACUGGGCGUAAAGCGUGCGCAGGCGGUUUGCUAAGACCGAUGUGAAAUCCCCGGGCUCAACCUGGGAACUGCAUUGGUGACUGGCAGGCUAGAGUAUGGCAGAGGGGGGUAGAAUUCCACGUGUAGCAGUGAAAUGCGUAGAGAUGUGGAGGAAUACCGAUGGCGAAGGCAGCCCCCUGGGCCAAUACUGACGCUCAUGCACG